AUCCUAGGGUCUAAAAGUUACACCGCCUUUGUACUAGGGCUGGUGUCACUAGCACAUAUGACGUCAGCCCUCACGAAUCCUUCCUCUGCAAUGAAUUGUUGGGGGUAUUAUACCGAGGACUGUAAUUUUGAUCUUUUGCACCUAUCCUCAUGCAUGUAAUCGAGCACAAGUGCACGGGGGCCACUGAUGUUACCAAAUACUUUCCCGACGUAUACAAACCCGAUGACUCUAUUUCGUCGAUUUGUGUAUCAGUAUGCUCGGGAUAUAUAUGCUCGGGAUGUCUUUCACAUGCCCGAGCUCUUAACCCAAGAGUUUAUGGAACGUCAUUCGACGUGUCCUUGGAAUUAUGUCCUCGACAUGUCCCCGACGUCAACGCCUUAUCCAAUAAGAAAUUUAUUCUGACUUAAACUCCUCAACCUAUGUCUCCUAUGCCUAGAAGAACUCUAUUAAAUAAUUGGUAUCUCAGUUAUACCACAAUUCAAACUCCUAUCUCGCGUAGGACUCAUUGGUAUAAGAUUGCAAAAUCAAGCUGUCCUAUUACAAGUGCACUACGGAAUCCUAGUAUGAACACACCACCUACCUCUAUAAAUACAAAGCCCUUGAUCAUUAUUCAGGUACGUUUUACAUAAUUUUCAGUUCAUAGCCUUACGUACAAAUUCUCUCUCUGACUUAAACAUCGGAGGGGCGACGAUGACACACCUCGACGCCUUUAUUUCAGGUACCGGAAGAUCUCGUUCGUGCUCAUUAUCAGUUGUCAAGCUCGGAAAAUCAACAGUACGAUUUUUGGUAGCAUCAUAGAUGAUUAGACUACAACACCUUUUUAGGUACUUGUGAUAUUGGUAAAUGAAGAGAGGAGGGAUAAUGGUGGCAACCUAAAGAGAAUUGAGAAUCAUAAGUGCACCAUCUAAGGAAUGGAGUCAAAAUCCACUUUUAUCUGACCAUUAAAACAUGAAAAUAUUGUUUUGCUGCUCAUUUUGGUUUAUCAACCAAAUUCAUUGCAACCAUGUAAAUUACUCUCUCUCUCUCUCUCUCUCUCUCUCUCUCUCUCUCUCUCACACACACACACACACACACAAUUUGUUCUACUUCAUUUAAGGAUAUUAUUAGUUUUAAAUAUGUUGUGUAAUAGUAUUUUUUUUAAUCAAAAUAGUUGUUUUAGCCCUGUUGUAGAUUAAAAUUUUAAAUUUCUAGUCAAAGUCGACAAUUAAAUUUAAUCACGAAAUCACAACAUCAACUUAAUUUUAUAAAAUCUACUAAAAAUCUGAUUUUAAUAUACACCAAACAUGGACUUAAUUGAAACACGUUCUUUUAUACCCAUCAAUUUUAAAUGUACAAUGUCUUUUAUUUUAUUAAAAAGAUGCAAAAACUUUAUUUUAAGAAAAUUAUAGUGUUUAUUUUGACCCGUCCAAACUCAAUUGAAGCUCGUAUAAAUUGAUGUGUUAUGUGUGCUGUUCAAUUGACAUAGAUAGCACUACAAUGGAGGUAUUUCAUAUAUAUAAAUAAAUAAAUAAUUGACAUAGAUAGCCUACUGUUGAGAUCCCCAAUACGAACCCGAUAUUUUUCAUAAUGCCUAGGUUGUAUUAAUUUUUUUUUUUUUUUUUCGAAGCGAAAUCUUUUCCACAUUUUCCACGUUUGUAAUAUGUUUUCGUUUAUCCCCUCUCCAUUCUCAACUUUCUUUCUCAAAAUGUUUCCAAAAUUUAGAAGUAUGUUUAAGAGCUUUUCCCUUCCUUCAUCCUUGUACAGAUCACUUCUUCAAAUUGUCCUCAAGCUCAAUGAUUGUCAAUUUGGUAGCACUAAUAUUUUUCUGGAAUUGAAACAUCGUUUGCUUGAGGAAAAUCGUAGACGCGAAUGUUUAAACUGCCAAAAAUUUGUUAAAAUCAUCAUUGGCGUUCAUCGAUCCAAUCUAAUCCAUUACAAUUUUAUAUGUAGUAAAAAUCACAACAAACAGAAAUAAUUGGCAAAAGAAAAUUGAAAUACGUAUGAACCAGCUCUCAAACUUAUGCAAUAGAUCUCAAACUUAUGCAAUAGAUAAUAAAAAUCCUCUAAUAACUCCUAAUUAUAACAAAGACAGUUAAAAAAUACGAAUAUAAGGAUGAAUUUCCAUCCUUGUCACAUCUCUACAAACCUGUCAGUCAAAUCAAGAGACUAAAAGGCGAAAAUAAAGCCUUGGCACAUAAUGCCUCCUUCGGGGCCCCAUUUUGGGAAAAUAAAAAUAUGUGAAAUAGUGUUUUUUUUUUUUAAAUUAGUGGUUGAAAAUGAAAGAAAAAUUUUCGAUUUACGUAUAAUAUUAUUUUAUGAAAAAUUGUUUGAUUGAAAAUAAGAGAAAAAAAUAAUAUAUAAUAGAAUUGAAAUUAAUGGGGGCUAAACAAGGACAAUGUAAAAGAAAAGUGGCUUUUAGAGUAUCUUAAUGCAUCCUGUGAAUUGAAAUUUAUGUGGCAUUUCAAUUAACAAAUUUUCAAAUCGAUGUGAUAAUUAUAAUUGAAUAAAUGAUCAGAUUUAAAAUUGUUCUUUAAUGAGUUCCAUCUAUGUUUCUUUUUUUUUUUUUUUUUUUUUUUGAUACUCAGGUGUCCCAGUUUCGCCAGACUAAAUCCUGGACCUCAAGCCUCCGGCCCCUCAUUAGCUUGAGGAAGUUAAUCGCGGGAUGUGCCAUUAUUGAUUCCCAGGUUCCUACAUGGCUUUUACUCCUUCUCCUAAGAGAGUCUCUCCACUGCCUUCCAGCACCUUACCUUCCAGAUAAAUCCCCCUUCCAAGAUGCUGCCUUCCAGGAAUCGAACCCUCCACACUAGGUUUGUAAGCCCACCAAUGCAAU
RNAcentral lists this long non-coding RNA (2809 nucleotides) under Olea europaea subsp. europaea. The record is from RNAcentral. Lineage: Eukaryota; Viridiplantae; Streptophyta; Magnoliopsida; Lamiales; Oleaceae.